Molecule: ribosomal RNA, 1446 nt
Filed under: Lactiplantibacillus plantarum
Lineage: Bacteria; Bacillati; Bacillota; Bacilli; Lactobacillales; Lactobacillaceae
Description: bacterial SSU rRNA
Rfam family: Bacterial small subunit ribosomal RNA
Source: RNAcentral
CCUAAUACAUGCAAGUCGAACGAACUCUGGUAUUGAUUGGUGCUUGCAUCAUGAUUUACAUUUGAGUGAGUGGCGAACUGGUGAGUAACACGUGGGAAACCUGCCCAGAAGCGGGGGAUAACACCUGGAAACAGAUGCUAAUACCGCAUAACAACUUGGACCGCAUGGUCCGAGCUUGAAAGAUGGCUUCGGCUAUCACUUUUGGAUGGUCCCGCGGCGUAUUAGCUAGAUGGUGGGGUAACGGCUCACCAUGGCAAUGAUACGUAGCCGACCUGAGAGGGUAAUCGGCCACAUUGGGACUGAGACACGGCCCAAACUCCUACGGGAGGCAGCAGUAGGGAAUCUUCCACAAUGGACGAAAGUCUGAUGGAGCAACGCCGCGUGAGUGAAGAAGGGUUUCGGCUCGUAAAACUCUGUUGUUAAAGAAGAACAUAUCUGAGAGUAACUGUUCAGGUAUUGACGGUAUUUAACCAGAAAGCCACGGCUAACUACGUGCCAGCAGCCGCGGUAAUACGUAGGUGGCAAGCGUUGUCCGGAUUUAUUGGGCGUAAAGCGAGCGCAGGCGGUUUUUUAAGUCUGAUGUGAAAGCCUUCGGCUCAACCGAAGAAGUGCAUCGGAAACUGGGAAACUUGAGUGCAGAAGAGGACAGUGGAACUCCAUGUGUAGCGGUGAAAUGCGUAGAUAUAUGGAAGAACACCAGUGGCGAAGGCGGCUGUCUGGUCUGUAACUGACGCUGAGGCUCGAAAGUAUGGGUAGCAAACAGGAUUAGAUACCCUGGUAGUCCAUACCGUAAACGAUGAAUGCUAAGUGUUGGAGGGUUUCCGCCCUUCAGUGCUGCAGCUAACGCAUUAAGCAUUCCGCCUGGGGAGUACGGCCGCAAGGCUGAAACUCAAAGGAAUUGACGGGGGCCCGCACAAGCGGUGGAGCAUGUGGUUUAAUUCGAAGCUACGCGAAGAACCUUACCAGGUCUUGACAUACUAUGCAAAUCUAAGAGAUUAGACGUUCCCUUCGGGGACAUGGAUACAGGUGGUGCAUGGUUGUCGUCAGCUCGUGUCGUGAGAUGUUGGGUUAAGUCCCGCAACGAGCGCAACCCUUAUUAUCAGUUGCCAGCAUUAAGUUGGGCACUCUGGUGAGACUGCCGGUGACAAACCGGAGGAAGGUGGGGAUGACGUCAAAUCAUCAUGCCCCUUAUGACCUGGGCUACACACGUGCUACAAUGGAUGGUACAACGAGUUGCGAACUCGCGAGAGUAAGCUAAUCUCUUAAAGCCAUUCUCAGUUCGGAUUGUAGGCUGCAACUCGCCUACAUGAAGUCGGAAUCGCUAGUAAUCGCGGAUCAGCAUGCCGCGGUGAAUACGUUCCCGGGCCUUGUACACACCGCCCGUCACACCAUGAGAGUUUGUAACACCCAAAGUCGGUGGGGUAACCUUUUAGGAACCAGCCGCAU